UACAGGGGGUGCAAACGUUGCUCGGAAUCAUUGGGCGUAAAGCGCACGUAGGCGGUUCGUUAUGUCGGAUGUGAAAGCCCUUGGCUUAACCGAGGAAGUGCAUCCGAAACUGGCGAGCUAGAGUACGAAAGAGGAUCGCGGAAUUCCCGGUGUAGAGGUGAAAUGCGCAGAUAUCAGGAAGAACACCCGUGGCGAAAGCGGCUCUCUGGAACGGUACUGACGCUGAGGAGCGAAAGCGUGGGGAGCGAACAGG
Molecule: ribosomal RNA, 253 nt
Filed under: uncultured bacterium
Lineage: Bacteria
Description: partial 16S ribosomal RNA
Rfam family: Bacterial small subunit ribosomal RNA
Source: RNAcentral